RNAcentral lists this ribosomal RNA (497 nucleotides) under uncultured bacterium. RNAcentral describes it as "partial 16S ribosomal RNA". It matches the Rfam family "Bacterial small subunit ribosomal RNA", at positions 28 to 507 of the family's 1533-position model. The record is from RNAcentral.
GAUGAACGCUGGCGGCGUGCCUAAUACAUGCAAGUCGAGCGAACAGACGAGGAGCUUGCUCCUCUUACGUUAGCGGCGGACGGGUGAGUAACACGUGGAUAACCUACCUAUAAGACUGGGAUAACUUCGGGAAACCGGAGCUAAUACCGGAUAAUAUAUUGAACCGCAUGGUUCAAUAGUGAAAGCCGUUUUUGCUGUCACUUAUAGAUGGAUCCGCGCCGCAUUAGCUAGUUGGUAAGGUAACGGCUUACCAAGGCAACGAUGCGUAGCCGACCUGAGAGGGUGAUCGGCCACACUGGAACUGAGAAACGGUCCAGACUCCUACGGGAGGCAGCAGUAGGGAAUCUUCCGCAAUGGGCGAAAGCCUGACGGAGCAACGCCGCGUGAGUGAUGAAGGUCUUCGGAUCGUAAAACUCUGUUAUUAGGGAAGAACAAAUGUGUAAGUAACUAUGCACGUCUUGACGGUACCUAAUCAGAAAGCCACGGCUAACUACGUG